UAGAAAGUGGUGUAGAGGAAGCACCUGGAGCUUUGAUCUCCUGAGUAUGGGUUCAACUCCCUUCUUUCUAG
Molecule: transfer RNA, 71 nt
Filed under: Paralepidocephalus yui
Lineage: Eukaryota; Metazoa; Chordata; Actinopteri; Cypriniformes; Cobitidae
Description: tRNA-Gln
Rfam family: tRNA
About the family: Transfer RNA (tRNA) molecules are approximately 80 nucleotides in length.
Source: RNAcentral